CCUCCCUUUAGCACCACCUCCCCCACUUCGGCGUCAGGCACGGGGCUGAGGGCGCGAUCACGUGAGCGCGCUCCUGAGGGCGGCCCCCAGGGCGGGGCCGCGCCAAUUUACGUCAUCAGUCCGCCAGCAGCUUUCGGGCUCUCGUUAGUGUCUCACUACAAUCCUGUGGGAUUUGCCUCCCUGCCCUCUUCACAUGAGGAGCUUCAGCCCUCAAUAAACUUCGAACUUGUUUUCGCCCAUCGCAAUCGAUGCAUGACGAGAUGAUGGUCACAUUAAAUCCCAUAUAGUACCCCGUCUUUAUAAUCCAUUAUUGAAACUUCAGGAGAAAAUGGGACCCUCCAAACUGGCAAAACAGAACAAGAAGAGGUUCUGCGAGAGGACCAGGAGUUUCUUUCUGCUGUCUGGUCUGUUGAAUGGGUCUUCCAAGGGAAAAUGAACAUUAAUUCAGUUUCUCAGAAUCAUGAAUGGAGAGGUGGAAUCGUGAAUGGAGAGAGGCAUUCCACAGAAAGUGAGGUGAGAUCCAUAUCGUUCCUGAUAGCUGGAUCGUUCACAGUUCUACCGCCCAAGAGGACCCAUCUGUCUCCGGAUUCACCUUCUUUUCUGUUGUUAAUUUUGUAUUUCCAGGUUUCCUGACAGGGGUAUUGUUCAUCCCAAAUUCCUGGCAGAGACAGUUGUUCAUCCUAAAACUCCGUCUGUCCCAAGCCCAAACGGCUUUCUCAUUUUAUUUUACAGAACAUUUCUUAAAUUACAUUUUGUAUAUACAAUAAACACAAAUUAUUUCAUGUCGUUUAUCACAGAGAUGAUUAAGAAAUUUUUAAGGGCUUCUUGUCUUUUUUAGUCUUCCCUGAAGAAAAGAGAGAGCUUUCUCAUGAAUUUUCAGUUACACACCAUGAAGUAGAAAGGUAUCAUUCAUCUUCAAAUGCACAAGUGUAUUAAUAUCUAUACACAAUUGUAAUAAAUGUAGUGAGUUAAUUUGUGUUUCUUGGGGAUAAUAACAUAAUAAAAUAAUAUAUGAAAUAAAUUGUAACUUAAAUUUCAGCCACCAUGGAAUUAGAGUUCCUAGGCUCCUCCACCCAGUAACUAUUAUUCAGGGGGUCACAAUAAGGUGCCGGGAACUGGAGAUGAGGAGAUUGGCAUCUGAAAGGAGGACACAUUAAGAUAAGAAAUCAGUUCUCCUCCCAUGGGCUGCAGAACCAUCAGAGGACCAUCAUCACAUGGAUCCCCGGAGAAGAAGGAAUAAACUUCAGUGUCCAUUCACCCACAGGAAACCAGAAACUGACACCUUGCAACACAGGGGGAAACUCUUUUCAGCUGGCCAGAGAUGACUAUGAAUUCGAAUAACCAACCCUGGAAACAAAGAAACUAUGGGGAAAUCUUGUGCCAGGGGUGAAAUAAAAUGUAUAAAAUCUGAGCCCAAAGCAAGGCAAAUUUGUGAACUUUGAGGGAACGGCAGUGUGCCAGAUACUGUGUUCCAGUUCACCCUUGAUGAUUCCCCGCGUCAAUCAUCAGUGUAACUCUUCUGGGAGAGUUUUGCUGAAAUUCUGUAAUUUGAUUCUUUUUAAUAAACCAAAAUUAUAUUUGUAAUUGAACUACUGGAUUGGCAUUUAUAACAACAAUCAUCACAUAUUAGGCAAAAAAAAAGUUGUGACUUCUAUUAGUUAACGAUUCAAAAUGUUAUAAAUGCUAGGACAAUUUAUUACUAAAUUUUAUAAUUUCGUUUAUUAAAAAUUCAAAUCACAAAAUUUGGAAUCAAAUUUUAGAAUUUUAAGCAAUAAAAAAACUCCCCCACAAACAGCGACACUUACUUGACAGAGUUUCUCUUGGGAAAAAGAGAGCCAAGGGUGACUCAUAGGCACAGACCCUGGCUGUCUGUGUUUCUAGCUGGGUACACGAAUUUGCCAUGUUCGAGGCUUGGUUUUUAUACUCUUUAUUCUGCCUCUGGCAGUAUUUCCCCAUAUUUCCCUUUGUUUCUUGGUUGCUAUUUAAACCCAUAUUUGUCUCAGGUCGGAUUGAAAAGAGCUCCCCUCCCAAGUCCAUGUGUUAAUGUUCAGUUUCUAUGGAUCUUUAUAGUUGAUGAAUGUUCGAGAUAUGGGUGAUAUUGCUUGAUGGUCUGUGAAGGUGGCUCCCGAGGUGUGAGUUGCUGAUACCGGCUCAUCUCAAGAGGUCCCCUCCCAAUACUUGAGAAGGCUGCAAAGUCUUUUGUUCCCUUCUGAAUGGAGAAACCUCCUAAAACAUAGACUUUUACCUGAUAUAAAUUUAUACAGCUUUAUAAUUUUCCAAUUUACCAUAAGAACAUGAAUUAAUCAUCUCACGUUUUUCACAAAAAGAUGUUUUUUCAAACCAUAAUUAAGAUUGUUUUGAUAUUUGACUCUUCUUUGUGCUCUGUUUGGAUUUCUUCUUACAUUUAAUUUUACCCUAGGAGUUCCAAGAUGUAUAAUUCUUGGGGUUUGAAUAAAUAUGUUAUCACUCUAAUGUAUUUUACUGUAAGUCAUUGCCAUAUGGCCUUACCUUUGCUUCCAUCUUCAGGAUUUUUUUUCACUUUUAUAGUAUAAUUUCCCUGCCAUAUGAGGCUUUUUUGGGAGAUGGCAUUCUGUGAUUCUCACCUGAGUAAUGCAUUUACAAGAAAAGGUGAGAAUGUGCUAUCUGAAAGAUGUGAUUAUUUCUCUUGAAGCUUAAAACUGUAAACUCUGUGAGUUUUGUACUAAAAUGUACCAUUCUAACUUAGGUUUUUAGGGAUAUAAAAUUGAACAAGUAUAGCAAUUAAUGGAAAUUAGGAUUGUAGUACAAACUUAAAUUCCUUGUGAACUGAUAACUGUAAAUUAAUCUCAGCAAUUAGACAUAAAACCUAUUUUCCUCUAGUGUUCAACUCUUUGAAAUUUUAAUCAACUUUAAUAAUAAAU
Molecule: long non-coding RNA, 2900 nt
Organism: Prinia subflava (tawny-flanked prinia)
Lineage: Eukaryota; Metazoa; Chordata; Aves; Passeriformes; Cisticolidae
Exons: 3
Source: RefSeq, a predicted model, not a curated record